UUUAUUUCUCUUUUUAAAUCAGAUAUUGUAGGUUCUUUAUUAAUUAUAUCCCUUUUAUUUAUUCUUUUUAUGAUUUAUGAAAAACUAUAUUCAUCUGCUGGUUUUAUUAAUGGUGGCGAUUUAUUUUUUAAUUUAGCAAAUUUUAAAUAUUGAGUUAUUACGUCUCAUUUUUCAUUAGGGUCUGCAAUUUUCUCGAUUAGAUCUAAAACUUCAUUAGUGAGAGUAUUGCAAGAACAUUCUUCCAUUUUUUCAUUAUCUGAUUGAUUUUCAGAACUACUCCAUACUAGAUUUUCAUCUUCAAUAUGACCUAUUAAUGAACUAUCACUUUCAUUUGUGUCUUCAGUGGAACUACUAUUUGAAUCAUAGAUUUGUAUUAUAUCAUAGAUUAUGUUUCUAAUGGUUUCAUCUAGCAUUAUAGUAUCUAUU
Molecule: long non-coding RNA, 426 nt
Filed under: Amborella trichopoda
Lineage: Eukaryota; Viridiplantae; Streptophyta; Magnoliopsida; Amborellales; Amborellaceae
Description: long non-coding RNA (ATRI_LNC002462)
Source: RNAcentral